CUCACCAGCCAUAUCACCCUGUAGCCCAAGACUGGUUGCCCACUGAAGCUAAGCAGGGCUGAGCCUGGUCAGUACCUGGAUGGGAGACCUCCUGGGAAAACUAGGUUGCUGCUGGAA
RNAcentral lists this ribosomal RNA (117 nucleotides) under Sinocyclocheilus rhinocerous. Lineage: Eukaryota; Metazoa; Chordata; Actinopteri; Cypriniformes; Cyprinidae. The record is from RNAcentral.